GACGAACGCUGGCGGUGUGCCUAAUACAUGCAAGUAGAACGCACAGUUUAUACCGUAGCUUGCUACACCAUAGACUGUGAGUUGCGAACGGGUGAGUAACGCGUAGGUAACCUGCCUGGUAGCGGGGGAUAACUAUUGGAAACGAUAGCUAAUACCGCAUAAUAUUAAUUAUUGCAUGAUAAUUAAUUGAAAGGUGCAAUUGCACCACUACCAGAUGGACCUGCGUUGUAUUAGCUAGUAGGUGAGGUAACGGCUCACCUAGGCGACGAUACAUAGCCGACCUGAGAGGGUGAUCGGCCACACUGGGACUGAGACACGGCCCAGACUCCUACGGGAGGCAGCAGUAGGGAAUCUUCGGCAAUGGACGAAAGUCUGACCGAGCAACGCCGCGUGAGUGAAGAAGGGUUUCGGAUCGUAAAGCUCUGUUGUAAGAGCAGAACGGGUGUGAGAGUGGAAAGUUCACACUGUGACGGUAUCUUACCAGAAAGAGACGGCUAACUACGUG
This 505-nucleotide ribosomal RNA is filed under the name uncultured bacterium. RNAcentral describes it as "partial 16S ribosomal RNA". It matches the Rfam family "Bacterial small subunit ribosomal RNA", at positions 28 to 507 of the family's 1533-position model. The record is from RNAcentral.